RNAcentral lists this ribosomal RNA (253 nucleotides) under uncultured bacterium. RNAcentral's name for it is "partial 16S ribosomal RNA". It matches the Rfam family "Bacterial small subunit ribosomal RNA", at positions 524 to 776 of the family's 1533-position model. The record is from RNAcentral.
UACAGAGGUCUCAAGCGUGGUUCGGAUUCAUUGGGCGUAAAGGGUGCGUAGGCGGCGCGGUAAGUCGGGUGUGAAAUCUCGGAGCUUAACUCCGAAACUGCAUUCGAUACUGCCGUGCUUGAGGACUGGAGAGGAGACUGGAAUUUACGGUGUAGCGGUGAAAUGCGUAGAUAUCGUAAGGAAGAACAGUGGCGAAGGCGGGUCUCUGGACAGUUCCUGACGCUGAGGCACGAAGGUCAGUGGAGCAAACGGG